RNAcentral lists this ribosomal RNA (539 nucleotides) under Penicillium glandicola. RNAcentral's name for it is "eukaryotic LSU rRNA". The stretch from base 159 to 311 matches the Rfam family "5.8S ribosomal RNA". Lineage: Eukaryota; Fungi; Ascomycota; Eurotiomycetes; Eurotiales; Aspergillaceae. The record is from RNAcentral.
UGGGUCCACCUCCCACCCGUGUUUAUUUACCUUGUUGCUUCGGCGGGCCCGCCUUAACUGGCCGCCGGGGGGCUUACGCCCCCGGGCCCGCGCCCGCCGAAGACACCCUCGAACUCUGUCUGAAGAUUGUAGUCUGAGUAUAAAUAUAAAUUAUUUAAAACUUUCAACAACGGAUCUCUUGGUUCCGGCAUCGAUGAAGAACGCAGCGAAAUGCGAUACGUAAUGUGAAUUGCAAAUUCAGUGAAUCAUCGAGUCUUUGAACGCACAUUGCGCCCCCUGGUAUUCCGGGGGGCAUGCCUGUCCGAGCGUCAUUUCUGCCCUCAAGCACGGCUUGUGUGUUGGGCCCCGUCCUCCGAUUCCGGGGGACGGGCCCGAAAGGCAGCGGCGGCACCGAGUCCGGUCCUCGAGCGUAUGGGGCUUUGUCACCCGCUCUGUAGGCCCGGCCGGCGCUUGCCGAUCAACCCAAAUUUUUAUCCAGGUUGACCUCGGAUCAGGUAGGGAUACCCGCUGAACUUAAGCAUAUCAAUAAGACGGAGGAA